GACGAACGCUGGCGGCGUGCCUAAUACAUGCAAGUCGAGCGAAGUUUUUCUGGUGCUUGCACUAGAAAAACUUAGCGGCGAACGGGUGAGUAACACGUAAAGAACCUGCCUCAUAGACUGGGUCAACUAUUGGAAACGAUAGCUAAUACCGGAUAACAGUAUUUCUCGCAUGAGAGAUAUUUAAAAGUUGGUUAUGCUAACACUAUGAGAUGGCUUUGCGGUGCAUUAGCUAGUUGGUGGGGUAAAGGCCCACCAAGGCGACGAUGCAUAGCCGACCUGAGAGGGUGAUCGGCCACACUGGGACUGAGACACGGCCCAGACUCCUACGGGAGGCAGCAGUAGGGAAUCUUCCGCAAUGGGCGAAAGCCUGACGGAGCAACGCCGCGUGAGUGAAGAAGGAUUUCGGUUCGUAAAGCUCUGUUGUUAGGGAAGAAUGGAUAUGUAGUAACUAUACAUGUAAGAGACGGUACCUAACCAGAAAGCCACGGCUAACUACGUG
RNAcentral lists this ribosomal RNA (499 nucleotides) under uncultured bacterium. RNAcentral's name for it is "partial 16S ribosomal RNA". It matches the Rfam family "Bacterial small subunit ribosomal RNA", at positions 28 to 507 of the family's 1533-position model. The record is from RNAcentral.